RNAcentral lists this ribosomal RNA (279 nucleotides) under uncultured bacterium. RNAcentral's name for it is "partial 16S ribosomal RNA". It matches the Rfam family "Bacterial small subunit ribosomal RNA", at positions 506 to 784 of the family's 1533-position model. The record is from RNAcentral.
UGCCAGCCGCCGCGGUAAGACGGAGGGUGCUAGCGUUGUUCGGAAUGACUGGGCGUAAAGGGCGCGUAGGCGGUUUUGUUAGUCAGGCGUGAAAGCCCCGGGCUCAACCCGGGAACUGCGUUUGAUACUGCAAGACUUGAGGACGGAAGAGGAAAGUGGAAUUCCUAGUGUAGAGGUGAAAUUCGUAGAUAUUAGGAGGAACACCAGUGGCGAAGGCGGCUUUCUGGACCAAUACUGACGCUGAGAUGCGAAAGCGUGGGGAGCGAACAGGAUUAGAUA